Molecule: small RNA, 127 nt
Filed under: Salmonella enterica subsp. enterica serovar Dublin
Lineage: Bacteria; Pseudomonadati; Pseudomonadota; Gammaproteobacteria; Enterobacterales; Enterobacteriaceae
Description: partial RtT sRNA
Rfam family: RtT RNA
About the family: This family represents a bacterial cis-regulatory element known as RtT RNA.
Source: RNAcentral
AUAUCUCUCUGUACGGGAAGGAUGAGAAGCUUCGACUAAGGUUCGAUUCGAGCGAAAGCGAGAAAGCGUUGCCGCAGGCAACGACCCGAAGGGCGAAACGCGCAGCGCUGAGUCAUCCUUCCCCCAC